Molecule: unclassified non-coding RNA, 307 nt
Filed under: uncultured Fusarium
Lineage: Eukaryota; Fungi; Ascomycota; Sordariomycetes; Hypocreales; Nectriaceae
Description: sequence contains ITS1
Rfam family: 5.8S ribosomal RNA (bases 1-101)
Source: RNAcentral
GAAUUGCGAUAAGUAAUGUGAAUUGCAGAAGUGAAUCAUCGAAUCUUUGAACGCACAUUGCGCCCGCCAGUAUUCUGGCGGGCAUGCCUGUUCGAGCGUCAUUUCAACCCUCAAGCCCCCGGGUUUGGUGUUGGGGAUCGGCGAGCCCUUGCGGCAAGCCGGCCCCGAAAUCUAGUGGCGGUCUCGCUGCAGCUUCCAUUGCGUAGUAGUAAAACCCUCGCAACUGGUACGCGGCGCGGCCAAGCCGUUAAACCCCCAACUUCUGAAUGUUGACCUCGGAUCAGGUAGGAAUACCCGCUGAACUUAA